UCAUGUUCCUCACGUUCCUACGCUUUACAUCACCUCCAUCUUCAAAACAUCAUCAGGCUCUCUCUACCAUCUCGACGUAUGAACAUAACCUGCUUUUCUCAUAAGCAGGUCAUUACGGCACAACCUAGCUUGUUGAAGAAUCUAAGUUUCACUCAUCGAAAUGGUUCAGACGAUUCCACUAAGCCAAAACAGGACUUCAAUAUAUCAAAUUGCUUGAUGCCAAAAGGUAUUGAGCAAAGUAGGAAUGGGCAAAGAAGACCGCUACUUUUGGAAGUAGAUAGGCAAGCCGUUCCUAGCCAUAUACAUGCUCAUUAAGGUUGGGUCGCUCGACAUUGAAACAUCGCCCCUUAGGGGGUGGAUGCUGAAGCCACGGCCGAAGGAAGAAAGCGAGCUAGCUCACUUGCACGAGCGGCAGCAAUUUCCGCGCAUGCGCAAUAAAGCAAUGGAAGAUGAUCAGCACGAUCGGUGGGCCCAAUGGAUU
Molecule: long non-coding RNA, 481 nt
Organism: Syzygium oleosum
Lineage: Eukaryota; Viridiplantae; Streptophyta; Magnoliopsida; Myrtales; Myrtaceae
Exons: 2
Source: RefSeq, a predicted model, not a curated record